Molecule: unclassified non-coding RNA, 683 nt
Filed under: Edrastima trinervia
Lineage: Eukaryota; Viridiplantae; Streptophyta; Magnoliopsida; Gentianales; Rubiaceae
Description: sequence contains ITS1, 5.8S rRNA gene, ITS2
Rfam family: 5.8S ribosomal RNA (bases 316-471)
Source: RNAcentral
GUGUUCGGAUUGCGGCGACGUGAGCGGUUCGCCGCCCGCGACGUCGCAAGAAGUCCACUGAACCUUAUCAUUUAGAGGAAGGAGAAGUCGUAACAAGGUUUCCGUAGGUGAACCUGCGGAAGGAUCAUUGUCGAAUCCUGCGAGCCACCGCGAACACGUUUCAUAAAACACCCGGGGUGCCGGGCCUGCCCGGCCCCCGGAACCAACUUAAACUUCCGGCGCGGAAAGCGCCAAGGACUACUGAAAACGGACCGCCCGCGUCCCCCCUCGGCUUCCGCGGGGCGGACGCGGUUCGUCUGGAAACGUAACCAACACGACUCUCGGCAACGGAUAUCUAGGCUCUCGCAUCGAUGAAGAACGUAGCGAAAUGCGAUACUUGGUGUGAAUUGCAGAAUCCCGUGAACCAUCGAGUUUUUGAACGCAAGUUGCGCCCGAAGCCAUUAGGCCAAGGGCACGUUUGCCUGGGCGUCACGCAUCGUCGCCACCCCCCCUCGCACGACCCUGGGAGGGUGACGGAACAUGGCCUCCCGUGUCCCCCGGGCGCGGCCGGCCCAAAUAAGAGUCCCCGGCACGGGACGUCGCGGCAAGUGGUGGUUGAAACCCUCAACUCGAUCGAAGCCGAGGCGCGGACCGACGCCGGGGCCCGAGACCCCGGAGCCCCUAGGGCCCCUCGACCAUGACCC